GAUUUUUUAAUGGCCGCGGUAUUUUGACCGUGCAAAGGUAGCAUAAUCAUUAGUUUAUUAAUUGUAAACUGGAAUGAAUGGUUGGACGAAAUAUUAGCUGUCUCAUUUUUAAUAUUUGAAUUUAAAUUUUAAGUUAAAAUGCUUAAAUUUUUUUAAAGGACGAGAAGACCCUAUAGAUCUUGAUUAUAUUUUUUAAUAUUUUUUAUAGCUUAUUAAUUUUUUAUUGAAUUUUUAUUUUUUGGUUGGGGUGACAUUGGGAUAUAAUUAACUCCUUAUUAUUUAUUCAAUUAUUUUUGUUUAAUUGACCUUUUAUUAUUGUUUAAAGAUAUAGAUACCUUAGGGAUAACAGCGUAAUUCUUUUUGAGAGUUCAUAUUGACAAGGGAGAUUGCGACCUCGAUGUUGGAUUAAGAUUAUAAAUUGGUGUAGUAGCUAAAUUAUUAGGUCUGUUCGACCUUUAAAUUCUUACAUGAUCUGAGUUCAAACCGG
Molecule: ribosomal RNA, 487 nt
Filed under: Antongilia muricata
Lineage: Eukaryota; Metazoa; Arthropoda; Insecta; Phasmatodea; Bacillidae
Description: partial large subunit ribosomal RNA
Rfam family: Bacterial large subunit ribosomal RNA
Source: RNAcentral